This 74-nucleotide transfer RNA is filed under the name Bordetella bronchiseptica MBORD901. RNAcentral describes it as "tRNA-Gly". It matches the Rfam family "tRNA". From Rfam's summary of the family: Transfer RNA (tRNA) molecules are approximately 80 nucleotides in length. Their secondary structure includes four short double-helical elements and three loops (D, anti-codon, and T loops). The record is from RNAcentral. Lineage: Bacteria; Pseudomonadati; Pseudomonadota; Betaproteobacteria; Burkholderiales; Alcaligenaceae.
GCGGGCGUAGUUCAUGGUGAGCCGCCGGCCUUCCAAGCCGCGCUGAGAGGGUUAGAUCCCCUCCGCCCGCUCCA